AUUUGUUUCCAUUUAAUCUUUAGUUAGAAACUGAUGGAUUCGUUUUAGCAAGUGAACUCUUAAAGCACCAUGCAUUUCUUCCAAAAGGUCAAAACACAAAUACCAAAACAUGAAAUAAUCAGAAAUUUGCAACGGUAUGUCCCUCCUUACCCUGAACUAUGCCCAGGUGGCUUUUGAGUAUCUCUGAGGUGGGAAGAUUCCAGAACAUCUCUAGGCAGCCUGUCGGUACUUAGUCAUUCUCACAAUAAAGACACACUUCCUGAAGUCCAGAUAGAACCUCUUGUUUGUGCCCACUGCCUAUUGUGCUGUCACUGAGCACCACUGGAAAGAGUCUCACUCCAUCCUCCCCCUUCAGAAACCAGAUUUCCUCCUUCAAGUUUCACAAAUAGCUACUGUGGGCCAACCUUGCAACAUCCACCAACACAGGAUCAAAGGAGAUAAGCAUCUGUUGAAAUAUUUACAAGCUCAACUUCCAUGCCAGAACACAAGGCCAAUCUUUAAGAAACUUCCUUCUUCUACAUGAGUAAGCAUUACAGAUCAGGAUCUUGAGACAGAAAGUGGAAAACAGGAGAAGAGACUACAGCUCCAUGCAGAAGCAUGUCCACAAUAAUAAAGUGAGAGUCCUGCACUACACAGCAGAAUCUCUCUCUGCUGACCUCAGGCAACCUCAGAGAAGAAGAAGCUGUUUCAGUCCUUCUCAGUUAAUACUUGGCUUCUUUCCAGAGACCUAUCUAAAAAAGGAUAAUUAAUGCUAAUUGCAGGGUUUUAUUUUUGUAAUGAAGUGCACAAGUCUACAUCUUUACAAAACUAGCCCCCAUUAAA
Molecule: long non-coding RNA, 822 nt
Organism: Gallus gallus (chicken)
Lineage: Eukaryota; Metazoa; Chordata; Aves; Galliformes; Phasianidae
Exons: 4
Source: RefSeq, a predicted model, not a curated record